GCGAAUUGCUUCGUCUUGGAGGGAGGAAGUUUGGGAUUUUUAAUCAUUAAAUGGAUUAUACCAUUAUGCUUCUCAAAUAUUUUACCUUUAUGCCUUCCCUUUUGGUGGUGACUUUGAAUAGGUUUUGAUGCCUAAUAUUAGGAGGCUUAGCAGCAGAGCACCUGGUGUUUGGAUACUCUGAAGGACUUCAUUCUGAUGUGGAAAAGAUGGCUUUUGGCGUGGAUUUGUGGAUAAUCCAUUUUUGUGUAUAGAGGACAAUUUACACUUUUGUAUAAUCCUCCUCUGCUUUGUGUGGAUUAAUACUACUCAUACAAAUAACUUUUGGCAUCGAACUGAUAAUUGCUGGCGUGGUAUAUAGAUUACAUUUUGUCGUGGUACAAAUUACUACAUCAAAUGGCCAUUUGGUGUGGUAGUAAAUAUAUUUUUUGUAUACGAAGGGCUUGAUUUUUGUAUGAUUCUCUGUUUGUAUGGAAUUAUUAUUUUAGUUUGGACUAUAGUUGGUUCGUAUGGAAUUUGACAUUUAAAGUUA
Non-coding RNA from Camellia sinensis, 529 nucleotides. NCBI's taxonomy places the organism in Eukaryota, Viridiplantae, Streptophyta, Magnoliopsida, Ericales, Theaceae. The record is from RefSeq and is a predicted model, not a curated record.